Molecule: long non-coding RNA, 339 nt
Organism: Pipra filicauda (Wire-tailed manakin)
Lineage: Eukaryota; Metazoa; Chordata; Aves; Passeriformes; Pipridae
Exons: 2
Source: RefSeq, a predicted model, not a curated record
UCUUUGCAUCUGCACAAAUCAGAUGUUAGAGGACCAAAAUGUGCUGUCUAUAACCACAGGCAAAAUCACCUUCAACAUGCAUGAAGGCACUGGCAUUACAUGGAAUGACCCAGUAUUAACGAUGGGAGUCUAAGCCCAGAAGAUAUUUGAAGUCAAGUCCCUGUUCUGCUCCAUAUUUUCUUGUGCAAUCCCCCAUGGACUCACAUUUCCAAAGGGACUGGCACUUGUGAAUAUUCCCACUUUGGAGCAAUCACCGAGAGACCAUUAUGAGGAUAUGAUUUUUGGAAAAUGCUAAAUGCUCAUGUUCUCAGAAUAAGAUCUCUUUAAAGUGUUCCCAAA